AGCGAACGCUGGCGGCAGGCCUAACACAUGCAAGUCGAACGAACCUUUCGGGGUUAGUGGCGGACGGGUGAGUAACACGUGGGAACGUGCCUUUAGGUUCGGAAUAACUCAGGGAAACUUGUGCUAAUACCGAAUGUGCCCUUCGGGGGAAAGAUUUAUCGCCUUUAGAGCGGCCCGCGUCUGAUUAGCUAGUUGGUUGAGGUAAUGGCUCACCAAGGCGACGAGCAGUAGCUGGUCUGAGAGGAUGAUCAGCCACAUUGGGACUGAGACACGGCCCAAACUCCGACGGGAGGCAGCAGUGGGGAAUCUUGCGCAAUGGGCGAAAGCCUGACGCAGCCAUGCCGCGUGAAUGAUGAAGGUCUUAGGAUUGUAAAAUUCUUUCACCGGGGACGAUAAUGACGGUACCCGGAGAAGAAGCCCCGGCUAACUUCGUG
This 434-nucleotide ribosomal RNA is filed under the name uncultured bacterium. Its description in RNAcentral is "partial 16S ribosomal RNA". It matches the Rfam family "Bacterial small subunit ribosomal RNA", at positions 29 to 507 of the family's 1533-position model. The record is from RNAcentral.